Molecule: ribosomal RNA, 464 nt
Filed under: uncultured bacterium
Lineage: Bacteria
Description: partial 16S ribosomal RNA
Rfam family: Bacterial small subunit ribosomal RNA
Source: RNAcentral
GACGAACGCUGGCGGCGUGCUUAACACAUGCAAGUCGAACGGUAAGGCCCCAGCUUGCUGGGGUACACGAGUGGCGAACGGGUGAGUAACACGUGGGUGACCUGCCCCGCACUUCGGGAUAAGCCUGGGAAACUGGGUCUAAUACCGGAUAGGACCGCACCGUGAGGGUGUGGUGGAAAGUUUUUCGGUGUGGGAUGGGCCCGCGGCCUAUCAGCUUGUUUGUGGGGUAAUGGCCUACCAAGGCGGCGACGGGUAGCCGGCCUGAGAGGGUGGACGGCCACAUUGGGACUGGGACACGGCCCAGACUCCUACGGGAGGCAGCAGUGGGGAAUAUUGCACAAUGGGCGGGAGCCUGAUGCAGCGACGCCGCGUGGGGGAUGACGGCCUUCGGGUUGUAAACUCCUUUCACCAUCGACGAAGGUUUUCUGACGGUAGAUGGAGAAGAAGCACCGGCUAACUACGUG